RNAcentral lists this ribosomal RNA (257 nucleotides) under uncultured bacterium. Its description in RNAcentral is "partial 16S ribosomal RNA". It matches the Rfam family "Bacterial small subunit ribosomal RNA", at positions 524 to 777 of the family's 1533-position model. The record is from RNAcentral.
UACGAAGGGGGGCUAGCGUUGUUCGGAAUUACUGGGCGUAAAGCGCACGUAGGCGGAUAUUUAAGUCAGGGGUGAAAUCCCAGAGCUCAACUCUGGAACUGCCUUUGAUACUGGGUAUCUUGAGUAUGGAAGAGGUAAGUGGAAUUGCGAGUGUAGAGGUGAAAUUCGUAGAUAUUCGCAGGAACACCAGUGGCGAAGGCGGCUUUCUGGACGACAACUGACGCUGAGACGCGAAAAGCGUGGGGGAGCAAACAGGG